UACGUAGGGUGCGAGCGUUAAUCGGAAUUACUGGGCGUAAAGCGUGCGCAGGCGGUUGUGUAAGACAGAUGUGAAAUCCCCGGGCUCAACCUGGGAACUGCAUUUGUGACUGCACGGCUCGAGUGCGGCAGAGGGGGAUGGAAUUCCGCGUGUAGCAGUGAAAUGCGUAGAUAUGCGGAGGAACACCGAUUGCGAAGGCAAUCCCCUGGGCCUGCACUGACGCUCAUGCACGAAAGCGUGGGGAGCAAACAGG
Molecule: ribosomal RNA, 253 nt
Filed under: uncultured bacterium
Lineage: Bacteria
Description: partial 16S ribosomal RNA
Rfam family: Bacterial small subunit ribosomal RNA
Source: RNAcentral